AACAAACCAAUGAGCAAGAAGAGUAGCUUAUGAACAACAUGUCCAGAGAACUGCAGGUGGUGAGAUUGCAGUGAUGAUUUCUUAAGUGAAUGGACUUGCGAGGGCAAACCGAACGAGCGAAUCUAGUAGGGGCGACGGAGACUUCCCGUUAUAGAAAGUACAUAUAUGUUAGUAUAUGGUUGAGUGCAUCAGAUUUUGAUGAAUAUAGGUGGCACCGCAGGAGUGUUGUAUUUGUAUCUUGUCCUAUAA
Molecule: non-coding RNA, 249 nt
Filed under: Clostridium sp.
Lineage: Bacteria; Bacillati; Bacillota; Clostridia; Eubacteriales; Clostridiaceae
Description: T-box sequence
Rfam family: T-box leader
About the family: Uncharged tRNA acts as the effector for transcription antitermination of genes in the T-box leader family.
Source: RNAcentral